AUCGAAGACAUCAGCCUGCUGAUGAGCUCCCACACGAAUUGCUUGAUUCAUUGUAAAAGACGAUGCUGUAACGCGACCCUGUUAUAGGUCUGUAGCUCAGUUGGUUAGAGCGCACCCCUGAUAAGGGUGAGGUCGGCAGUUCAAAUCUGCCCAGACCUACCAUUACAUGGUGCGGCCUAGGACAAAACGGGGCCAUAGCUCAGCUGGGAGAGCGCCUGCCUUGCACGCAGGAGGUCAGCGGUUCGAUCCCGCUUGGCUCCACCACUCUUCAUGAUGCAGCACUGUUCAGAACUUAGAAAUGAACAUUCGGUAAUGAAUGUUGAUUUCUGACUUUUGUCAGAUCGUUCUUUAAAAAUUCGGAUAUGUGAUAGAAAUAGACUGAAUGCCAGUUUCACUGCUGGUAAUUCAGGCUAAGGUAAAAUUUGUGAGUUCUCACGAAUUUUCGGCGAAUGUCGUCUUCACAGUAUAACCAGAUUGCUUGGGGUUAUAU
This 490-nucleotide transfer RNA is filed under the name uncultured Pseudomonas sp. RNAcentral's name for it is "16S-23S ribosomal RNA intergenic spacer". The stretch from base 86 to 159 matches the Rfam family "tRNA". The record is from RNAcentral. Lineage: Bacteria; Pseudomonadati; Pseudomonadota; Gammaproteobacteria; Pseudomonadales; Pseudomonadaceae.